GCCUGGCUGGCUCAGUCGGUGGAGCGUGCGACUCUUGAUCUCAGGGUUGAGAGUUCAAGCCCCACGCUGGGUG
RNAcentral lists this transfer RNA (73 nucleotides) under Ailuropoda melanoleuca (giant panda). It matches the Rfam family "tRNA". From Rfam's summary of the family: Transfer RNA (tRNA) molecules are approximately 80 nucleotides in length. Their secondary structure includes four short double-helical elements and three loops (D, anti-codon, and T loops). Further hydrogen bonds mediate the characteristic L-shaped molecular structure. tRNAs have two regions of fundamental functional importance: the anti-codon, which is responsible for specific mRNA codon recognition, and the 3' end, to which the tRNAs corresponding amino acid is attached (by aminoacyl-tRNA synthetases). tRNAs cope with the degeneracy of the genetic code in two manners: having more than one tRNA (with a specific anti-codon) for a particular amino acid; and 'wobble' base-pairing, i.e. permitting non-standard base-pairing at the 3rd anti-codon position. The record is from Rfam by way of RNAcentral. Lineage: Eukaryota; Metazoa; Chordata; Mammalia; Carnivora; Ursidae.